UACGUAGGGUGCAGGCGUUAAUCGGAAUUACUGGGCGUAAAGCGUGCGCAGGCGGUCUUUUAAGUCAGAUGUGAAAUCCCUCGGCUUAACCGGGGAACUGCGUCUGAUACUGGAUGGCUUGAGUUUGGGAGAGGGAUGCGGAAUUCCAGGUGUAGCGGUGAAAUGCGUAGAUAUCUGGAGGAACACCGGUGGCGAAGGCGGCCUGCUGGGCUGUUGCUGACGCUGAGGCGCGACAGCGUGGGGAGCAAACAGG
This 253-nucleotide ribosomal RNA is filed under the name uncultured bacterium. Its description in RNAcentral is "partial 16S ribosomal RNA". It matches the Rfam family "Bacterial small subunit ribosomal RNA", at positions 524 to 776 of the family's 1533-position model. The record is from RNAcentral.